Molecule: long non-coding RNA, 719 nt
Organism: Lolium rigidum
Lineage: Eukaryota; Viridiplantae; Streptophyta; Magnoliopsida; Poales; Poaceae
Exons: 4
Source: RefSeq, a predicted model, not a curated record
CGGAGAGGGCUUCAGCGCUGGAGGCUUGCACCUGCCCAGCUCAAGUUGGAGAUAGUGGGGCGUUCGCGCAACGUGGGGGUUUCAGCUUUAAAUAUUGGAAAUUAACCACCACUUAGCUCAUCUUGGCAUUGUGCCAGAUUGAAAUCACCUCGCCCGAAGUUGCGCCUCAGCUCAACAUUGCCACGCCUGAAUAUCUGCUCGAGCUCGGCAGCGGCAACACAGCAGCUGCUCGACGACACACACUCAGUUCAAGAUACACCGGGGGAAACAUGAAAUUGGGGAUGAACUCCGCAACAGGAGCAACACAUAAUGUCAGAAUGUUGUCAGCACUGGGAGUGGCAUCAACAUAUAUUUGGAGAGGCCAAGUUGGUUACCUUCCGGUGCUUAUGGCAAUUAUGCUAGCUCCGAGACUGACACCAAGCAAAAUCACACCGUCAACAAACAUGAUCUGGAUGGACCUUUUGUUAUUGAUUGUCAAGAUUCAAAUGCUAAUGCCUUACUUCCCUAGAAAAUUAUUCCUGGAAAAGAAAGUGAAGUUUUAGAGUAAGCAUAGCCAAGGAGUUAUGCAGUACAUAGGAUAGUACCAGGAAUAGUACCUUCAAGUUGAUUGAGAAACCAGAUGUAUAGGGCCAUAAAUAUUCUAAUGGUGAUUGCACUGUUUGUAAUUUAAAUAUACAACCAUUCAAAAGGAAUGUAUUGUGGAUGCAAAGGUAGUCUCA